CACAAGCGGUGGAGCAUGUGGUUUAAUUCGAUGCAACGCGAAGAACCUUACCUGGUCUUGACAUAGUAAGAACUUUUCCAGAGAUGGAUUGGUGCCUUUCGGGGAACUUACAUACAGGUGCUGCAUGGCUGUCGUCAGCUCGUGCCGUGAGAUGUUGGGUUAAGUCCCGCAACGAGCGCAACCCUUUUCCUUAUUUGCCAGCGGGUUAAGCCGGGAACUUUAAGGAUACUGCCAGUGACAAACUGGAGGAAGGCGGGGACGACGUCAAGUCAUCAUGGCCCUUACGACCAGGGCUACACACGUGCUACAAUGGUCGGUACAAAGGGUUGCUACCUAGCGAUAGGAUGCUAAUCUCAAAAAGCCGAUCGUAGUCCGGAUUGGAGUCUGCAACUCGACUCCAUGAAGUCGGAAUCGCUAGUAAUCGCGGAUCAGAAUGCCGCGGUGAAUACGUUCCCGGGCCUU
Molecule: ribosomal RNA, 462 nt
Filed under: uncultured Acinetobacter sp.
Lineage: Bacteria; Pseudomonadati; Pseudomonadota; Gammaproteobacteria; Moraxellales; Moraxellaceae
Description: bacterial SSU rRNA
Rfam family: Bacterial small subunit ribosomal RNA
Source: RNAcentral